CCUGGCGCCAGGAGGUGGCGGCUGCGGAGGAGCAGCCUGGGUGCGACGUGGAGGGCUGCAGGCGGCGGAGAUGCACUAGGCCUCGCUCUGGGCGUCUGCCCGGGACCCGCAGUUGAGUGGUGAUUUUAUGCAAUGGCUUCAAGCCACAGUUCUUCACCAGUGCCUCAAGGAAGCAGCAGUGAUGUUUUCUUUAAAAAAGAGGUAGAUCCAACAAAACACAUUCGACCUGUGCAGUCACUGCCAGAUGUGUGUCCCAAGGAACCCACAGUUACAGAUCAACAUAGAUGGACUAUAUAUCAUUCCAAAGUAAAUCUCCCAGCAGCAUUAAAUUAUCCUAGAUUAGCAAAAAGAGAAUCUGACUUCUUCACAAAAACAUGGGGACUGGACUUUGUGGACACUGAAGUCAUACCUUCAUUCUACCUCCCACAAAUCAGCAAGGAAUAUUUUACAAUAUAUCAAUAGGAAAUCUCUCAGAGAGAGAAGAUUCAUGAGAGAUGCAAGAAUAUUUGUCCUCCUAAAGAUACCUUUGACAGGACUCUUGUACAUACUCAUGAUAAAUCCAGGACAGAUCUGGAGCAAGUACCUAAGAUUUUUAUGAAACCAGAUUUUGCCUUGGACAAUUCCUUAACUUUUAAUUCAGUUUUACCAUGGUCUCAUUUUAAUACUGCUGGUGGAAAAGGAAAUCGUGAUGCAGCUUCCUCAAAGUUGCUUCAAGAAAAGCUGAGCCAUUAUCUGGAUAUUGUGGAAGUAAACAUUGCUCACCAGAUCUCUCUACGUUCAGAAGCAUUUUUUCAUGCAAUGACCUCUCAACAUGAGAGGACUUGAGAGCAGGACUACCUCAAGAAAACUUCCCAGGCUGUAAAAAUGCUUCGAGAUAAAAUCGCACAGAUUGAUAAAGUAAUGUGUGAAGGAUCACUACACAUUUUAAGACUGGCACUCACCAGAAAUAAUUGUGUUAAAGUGUACAAUAAACUGAAGUUAAUGGCCACUGUACACCAGACUCAGCCUACAGUACAGGUUUUAUUAUCUACUUAUGAAUUUGUUGGAGCACUGGACUUAAUAGCAACAACACAAGAGGUUCUACAGCAGGAACUUCAGGGCAUUCACAGUUUCCGGUAUUUGGGAUCACAGCUUUGUGAAUUAGAAAAACUGAUUGAUAAAAUGAUGAUUGCAGAGUUUUCUACUUAUUCUCACAGUGACUUAAAUAGACCACUGGAAGAUGACUGUCAAGUUUUAGAAGAGGAAAGACUAGUAUCUCUUGUAUUUGGACUUUUAAAACAAAGAAAACUUAAUUUUUUAGAAAUCUAUAGUGAAGAAAUGAUUAUUACAGCAAAAAAAUAUCAUUAAACAGUGUGUGAUUAAUAAAGUUUCACAAAUAGAAGAAAUAGACACAGAUGUUGUGAAGCUUGCAGAUCAGAUGAGAAUGUUGAAUUUUCCUCAGUGGUUUGAUCUGCUAAAGGAUAUUUUCUCUAAGUUUACAAUUUUCCUACAGAGAGUUAAGGCAACGUUAAAUAUUAUUCACAGUGUUGUUCUCUCAGUUCUUGACAAAAACCAAAGGACUAGAGAAUUGGAGGAGAUUUCACAACAGAAGAAUGCUGCAAAAGAUAAUUCAUUGGACACAGAGGUGGCUUAUUUAAUCCAUGAAGGCAUGUUUAUAAGUGAUGCAUUCAGUGAGGGUGAAUUGACAGCUAUGACAGUCGACACUGCCUCUCAAAGAAAUGCAUCUCCAAAUAGUGAGCCCUGCAGCAGUGAUUCGGUAUCAGAGCCAGAAUGCACUACUGAUUCUUCAUCCAGUAAAGAGCAGACAUCAUCAUCUGCUACUCCAGGAGGAGUGGAUAUUAUGGUCAGUGAAGACAUGAAAUUAACUGACUUAGAGCUAGGAAAGCUGGCAAAUAAUAUCCAGGAGUUACUGUACAGUGCCUCAGAUAUAUGUCAUGAUCGAGCCGUCAAAUUUCUCAUGUCAAGAGCAAAGGAUGGUUUUCUUGAGAAGCUAAAUUCCAUGUAAUUCAUAACACUGUCUAGAUUAAUGGAAACAUUCAUUUUAGACACUGAACAGAUCUGUGGAAGAAAAAGUAUGUCAUUACUUGGAGCACUUCAGAGCCAAGCUAAUAAAUUUGUAAAUAGGUUUCACGAAGAGAGAAAAACCAAACUCAGUCUCCUCUUAGACAAUGAGCGCUGGAAGCAAGCUGAUGUUCCUGCAGAAUUUCAGGAUCUUGUUGAUUCUAUAUCAGAUGGAAAGAUUGCUUUACCUGAAAAAAAAUUAGGAGCUACAGAAGAAAGGAAACCAGCUGAGGUUCUCAUUGUUGAGGGACAACAGUAUGCUGUUGUUGGAACUCUAUUGCUAUUAAUAAGAAUUAUCCUUGAAUAUUGCCAGUGUGUGGAUAAUAUCCCAUCCGUUACUACUGACAUGCUUACUCGUCUGUCAGAUUUAUUGAAGUACUUCAAUUCAAGAAGUUGCCAAUUAGUUCUUGGAGCUGGUGCACUGCAAGUUGUUGGACUAAAAACAAUAACUACAAAAAAUUUGGCUCUGUCUUCACGAUGUUUGCAGUUAAUUGUGCACUACAUUCCUGUGAUCCGGGCUCAUUUUGAAGCUCGACUACCACCUAAGCAAUAUAGCAUGCUUAGGCAUUUUGAUCAUAUCACUAAGGACUACCAUGACCACAUAGCUGAAAUAUCAGCUAAGCUUGUAGCGAUAAUGGAUAGCUUAUUUGACAAGCUGUUAUCUAAGUAUGAGGUGAAAGCUCCCGUUCAUUCUGCCUGUUUCAGGAAUAUUUGUAAGCAAAUGGCAAAAAUGCAUGAAGCUAUAUUUGAUCUUCUUCCAGAAGAACAAACACAGAUGUUAUUUUUAAGAAUUAAUGCAAGUUACAAACUCCACUUGAAAAAGCAGUUAUCUCACUUAAAUGUGAUAAAUGAUGGAGGACCUCAAAAUGGGUUGGUCACAGCAGAUGUAGCUUUUUACACUGGAAAUCUUCAAGCCUUAAAAGGCCUUAAAGAUUUGGACCUAAAUAUGGCUGAGAUCUGGGAACAGAAGAGGUGAUGUCAUACUGGAAAACUGGAUAGUUCAUCUGACCAUGGGAUGUGUAUGUUUAUGAAGAAAAUCUGGAUGUGUAUGAUUCAAGAACUGAACCUGGAACCCAAAGUGAACUGGGGUAUGGGGUAAGGGAAAAAACAAAGUAUCAGUGUUGGGAAACUGGAUUCAGUAGGAUCUACAAGGAAUGCCAUUUUGGUGCAUCCUUCAGUGAGGAGUUAACUGAUCAGGUGUCUAUAACAUUUUUCAUUAUCUCUGGAAACAGACUCAGGUUUCUUUGGACCAAAUCCAAAAGAACACAUAGCUGUAACACAGCUGUAGUUGACUAGAAUGCUCUGUAUACUUUAUAAUAAAAAAUGCUUUGCAUUUCUUCCAGUGCAA
This is a non-coding RNA of Microcebus murinus (gray mouse lemur), 3409 nucleotides long. Lineage: Eukaryota; Metazoa; Chordata; Mammalia; Primates; Cheirogaleidae. The record is from RefSeq and is a predicted model, not a curated record.